UGGGCGCAAGCCUGAUGGAGCAACACCGCGUGAGUGAAGUAAGGGUUUCGGCUCGUAAAGCUCUGUUGUUAAAGAAGAACACGUAUGAGAGUUAACUGUUCAUACGUUGACGGUAUUUAACCAGAAAGUCACGGCUAACUACGUGCCAGCAGCCGCGGUAAUACGUAGGUGGCAAGCGUUAUCCGGAUUUAUUGGGCGUAAAGAGAGUGCAGGCGGUUUCUAAGUCUGAUGUGAAAGCCUUCGGCUUAACCGGAGAAGUACAUCGGAAACUGGAUAACUUGAGUGCAGAAGAGGGUAGUGGAACUCCAUGUGUAGCGGUGGAAUGCGUAGAUAUAUGGAAGAACACCAGUGGCGAAGGCGGCUACCUGGUCUGCAACUGACGCUGAGACUCGAAAGCAUGGGUAGCGAACAGGAUUAGAUACCCUGGUAG
This 430-nucleotide ribosomal RNA is filed under the name uncultured bacterium. Its description in RNAcentral is "bacterial SSU rRNA". It matches the Rfam family "Bacterial small subunit ribosomal RNA", at positions 372 to 793 of the family's 1533-position model. The record is from RNAcentral.